RNAcentral lists this long non-coding RNA (510 nucleotides) under Homo sapiens (human). RNAcentral describes it as "non-protein coding lnc-ACR-1:1". Lineage: Eukaryota; Metazoa; Chordata; Mammalia; Primates; Hominidae. The record is from RNAcentral.
UUUUUUUGGUAGCACAGUGAGUGGAGUUUAUUUUUAUAAUUUGUAGAAAAUUGACAUUUAGAUUUCAAAACUUAUAUUACAAAAUUAUCAGCAGCAGUCUUAAGCAUUUCAACCGACGGCCUAUUAUUAUACAUCUGCCUCACUGCUCAGGACCCGUUUGUGACUGUGUCUUCUUCCAUCUCUUCUUCACCAUCAUCAGUGGGCCCCAAUCUGCGUUCUCUGCCAGGGAUCUGACCAGACUGCAGCAACCCCUUCAGCCUCUCCACUUCAGCCAGAGUUGAAGCAUUUGCUAUAGCAUUCUUGAUUGCUUCUACAUCCCCUGGAGAUGGCCCACCUUUCUUUUUGUCAGUUGGCAAACCAGCACCUGGAUUAAAAUUUCACUUUCGCGGAACUUUAUAAAUCACAUACAAUCUGUAAUGCUUCUUAUUGGUUACUGGAUUUCUUAGGAUACUUAGGUAAGUCAGCGAUUUGAGAGAUGCCAGAGGGUCCAGAUCACCCAGUUCCACGAGC